UCAUUCUAAUUAAAAAAAUAAGUUUUAUAAAAUAAUUAUGUAAAACUGUUUAACAAUUUUUUUUUACUCUUGGUAAAUCAUUAUUUUUUACUAACUUUUAUUUCAAAUUUUAAAAUUUAAAAUUUAAAAAUUAAAACAUAAAACUCAAAAAUUAAAAUUUUAAAUCUUAGACAUGAACUUAAAUUUAAAAUUUUAAUCCAUUAAUAUUUAAAUUUAAAUUUUGAUUCUAAAAUCGAAAUCAACUGCUUAUGAUUUU
This 256-nucleotide long non-coding RNA is filed under the name Ananas comosus (pineapple). RNAcentral describes it as "long non-coding RNA (ACOM_LNC043471)". Lineage: Eukaryota; Viridiplantae; Streptophyta; Magnoliopsida; Poales; Bromeliaceae. The record is from RNAcentral.